AGUCGAGCGCCCCGCAAGGGGAGCGGCAGACGGGUGAGUAACGCGUGGGAAUCUACCCAGCUCUACGGAACAACUCCGGGAAACUGGAGCCAAUACCGUAUACGUCCUUCGGGAGAAAGAUCUAUCGGAGUUGGAUGAGCCCGCGUUGGAUUAGCUAGUUGGUGGGGUAAUGGCCUACCAAGGCGACGAUCCAUAGCUGGUCUGAGAGGAUGAUCAGCCACACUGGGACUGAGACACGGCCCAGACUCCUACGGGAGGCAGCAGUGGGGAAUAUUGGACAAUGGGCGAAAGCCUGAUCCAGCCAUGCCGCGUGAGUGAUGAAGGCCCUAGGGUUGUAAAGCUCUUUCACCGGUGAAGAUAAUGACGGUAAUCGGAGAAGAAGCCCCGGCUAACCUCGUGCCAGCAGCCGCGGUAAUACGAAGGGGGCUAGCGUUGUUCGGAAUUACUGGGCGUAAAGCGUGCGCAGGCGGUUUGCUAANACCGAUGUGAAAUCCCCGGGCUCAACCUGGGAACUGCAUUGGUGACUGGCAGGCUAGAGUAUGGCAGAGGGGGGUAGAAUUCCACGUGUAGCAGUGAAAUGCGUAGAGAUGUGGAGGAAUACCGAUGGCGAANGCAGCCCCCUGGGCCAAUACUGACGCUCAUGCACGAAAGCGUGNGGAGCAAACANGAUUAGAUACCCUGGU
This 683-nucleotide ribosomal RNA is filed under the name uncultured Phyllobacteriaceae bacterium. Its description in RNAcentral is "bacterial SSU rRNA". It matches the Rfam family "Bacterial small subunit ribosomal RNA", at positions 60 to 791 of the family's 1533-position model. Lineage: Bacteria; Pseudomonadati; Pseudomonadota; Alphaproteobacteria; Hyphomicrobiales; Phyllobacteriaceae. The record is from RNAcentral.